CAUGUCAGAUCUUGAUAAUAGAAAGUCUACAUUAGGGUAUAUGUUCAUUUGCAAUGGUGGUGCAGUCAGCUAGAAGUAUUCUAAACAAAGCAUCAUCAUAAAUUUGAUCAUAGAGGCUAGUAUGUCGCUGCUUUGAAUGCUACAAAAGAAGGAUUCUGGUUUAAAAAGUUUAUCACAAAAUUUGAUGCAAUGACAUCAAAUGCUAUACC
RNAcentral lists this long non-coding RNA (209 nucleotides) under Elaeis guineensis (African oil palm). Its description in RNAcentral is "long non-coding RNA (EGUI_LNC046355)". Lineage: Eukaryota; Viridiplantae; Streptophyta; Magnoliopsida; Arecales; Arecaceae. The record is from RNAcentral.